This 497-nucleotide ribosomal RNA is filed under the name uncultured bacterium. Its description in RNAcentral is "partial 16S ribosomal RNA". It matches the Rfam family "Bacterial small subunit ribosomal RNA", at positions 28 to 507 of the family's 1533-position model. The record is from RNAcentral.
GAUGAACGCUGGCGGCGUGCCUAAUACAUGCAAGUCGAGCGAACGGACGAGAAGCUUGCUUCUCUGAUGUUAGCGGCGGACGGGCGAGUAACACGUGGAUAACCUACCUAUAAGACUGGGAUAACUUCGGGAAACCGGAGCUAAUACCGGAUAAUAUUUUGAACCGCAUGGUUCAAAAGUGAAAGACGGUCUUGCUGUCACUUAUAGAUGGAUCCGCGCUGCAUUAGCUAGUUGGUAAGUUAACGGCUUACCAAGGCAACGAUGCAUAGCCGACCUGAGAGGGUGAUCGGCCACACUGGAACUGAGACACGGUCCAGACUCCUACGGGAGGCAGCAGUAGGGAAUCUUCCGCAAUGGGCGAAAGCCUGACGGAGCAACGCCGCGUGAGUGAUGAAGGUCUUCGGAUCGUAAAACUCUGUUAUUAGGGAAGAACAUAUGUGUAAGUAACUGUGCACAUCUUGACGGUACCUAAUCAGAAAGCCACGGCUAACUACGUG